CCUCCAAUGUUAUCUAGGGAAGCAGGAGUUAGAGAUUUACCUCCCUGGUGGCCAAAAGUAACAGAACGUGCCCUGCGGAAUAAAUCUUGAGCUGGAUUGGUGAGUCUUGGGUAACUUUUCUGACCUAGAGUAAUAGACUGUGACCUCAAAUGAUUUGAUUGUCCAAUUUCAGUGUUUGGGCUUGCUUGCUGUAAGGACGGUCUGAGCUCUGUACCAUUUGCAUCCAAAGCACCUUCCUUUGUGUAUAUAAGGUGCUGCUUGCAAAUAAACCAUAUGUGACAAGAAGCAGGUGCUUGUAGGCGCACAGAGAUGGCCUUCUUAGACUUGAUGUCCAUCAUAUUCCUUGAAAAUCGCUUGUCUGCCGCUGCUCCCAUAGCAAGCUGCCUGAUACCAUGCCCAGAAAUAAGUUGCAAAAUUCCCUUCUCAAUACUUUCCAUUUCAAUAUAAAGUUUCUCAGCCUGGACCCCCAUUCGCCGACAAAAAAGAAGGUAUUCGUCCAGUGUUUUAUGCAUGUCUUGCCUUUCAAUUUCGCGGAAAGCCCUGACUUCCUGAUCUUUAAGUGAGCUUGCGUGAAAUUUUGUACCCAUCAACGGAAUCAUCUGAGCGGGUUCGUGAACAUGAAUGAUGCAAAUCUUCCUCCCUCCUGAGUUCUGUAAUGCCCAUGUAAGAAGUGAUUUGUUUUCCUUAAAACUUUUUCCCACUGCAACGUAUAUCUUCUCUUCAAGUACCCGUGCCACCGGCUCCUCCACUAUCUCCCUGGCGGCUGCCAUGCUUCCUGGAACUAUAUAUUCAGGAAAGUUUAUCGGAGUCAUCUGUUGGGUAAUUGCAGGAGCAGGACUCACCACAGCCAUGAUAAUUACAGUAAUUAAACACCUCAAUCAUCAAAACUCACCUAAAUUCUAUUAUUUUCACUCUAUUGGAGACUCUCCAAUGUUCAAAGACU
Molecule: unclassified non-coding RNA, 943 nt
Filed under: Hevea brasiliensis (rubber tree)
Lineage: Eukaryota; Viridiplantae; Streptophyta; Magnoliopsida; Malpighiales; Euphorbiaceae
Source: RNAcentral